RNAcentral lists this ribosomal RNA (518 nucleotides) under Klebsiella ornithinolytica. RNAcentral's name for it is "bacterial SSU rRNA". It matches the Rfam family "Bacterial small subunit ribosomal RNA", at positions 585 to 1102 of the family's 1533-position model. Lineage: Bacteria; Pseudomonadati; Pseudomonadota; Gammaproteobacteria; Enterobacterales; Enterobacteriaceae. The record is from RNAcentral.
AAGUCAGAUGUGAAAUCCCCGGGCUCAACCUGGGAACUGCAUUUGAAACUGGCAGGCUUGAGUCUUGUAGAGGGGGGUAGAAUUCCAGGUGUAGCGGUGAAAUGCGUAGAGAUCUGGAGGAAUACCGGUGGCGAAGGCGGCCCCCUGGACAAAGACUGACGCUCAGGUGCGAAAGCGUGGGGAGCAAACAGGAUUAGAUACCCUGGUAGUCCACGCUGUAAACGAUGUCGACUUGGAGGUUGUUCCCUUGAGGAGUGGCUUCCGGAGCUAACGCGUUAAGUCGACCGCCUGGGGAGUACGGCCGCAAGGUUAAAACUCAAAUGAAUUGACGGGGGCCCGCACAAGCGGUGGAGCAUGUGGUUUAAUUCGAUGCAACGCGAAGAACCUUACCUACUCUUGACAUCCAGAGAACUUAGCAGAGAUGCUUUGGUGCCUUCGGGAACUCUGAGACAGGUGCUGCAUGGCUGUCGUCAGCUCGUGUUGUGAAAUGUUGGGUUAAGUCCCGCAACGAGCGCAAC